AGACUGAGAAGGAGUGAGUGGGGCUGCGGCAGGGCUGGGGGUCCCUGGGGAAGACCCAGGCCCAGCCCUGACCUGCCGGCCUGGGUCGGCUUCUUGACAGCAUCGAGCAGCUGCACGAGCAGGUGACCCAGGAGUGUGCCGAGUACCGUGCCCUGUACGAGAAGAUGGUGCUGCCGCCCCGACGUGGGAUCCAGGGUCAACUGGGCACACGUGCUGGAGCAGAAACAGCAGGAGGUCUGCGCAGGCCAGUAUGGGCCGGGCAUGGCGGAGCUGGAGGAACGGAUCGCGGAGCUCAACAUCCUGCAGAACGAGAUCAACGACCAAGGAGAGCAGCUGCGGAGCCUGGUGGGGCCCGCCCCGUGGGAUGCCGCCACCAUCCGGAGCCAAUACCGAGACCUACUGAGGGCGGCGUCGUGGCGCGGGCAGAGCCUGGGCAGCCUGUACACGCACCUGCAGGGCUGCACGUGGCAGCUGAGCGCCCUGGCGGAGCAGCAGUGCCGCAUCCUGCAGCAGGACUGGAGCGACCUCAUGGCCGACCCUGCGGGCGUGCGGCGGGAAUACGAGCACUUCAAGCAGCACGAGCUGCUGAGCCAGGAGCAGAGCGUAAACCAGCUGGAGGACGACGGCGAGCACAUGGUGGAGCUGCGGCACCCCGCGGUGGGGCCCAUCCAGGAGCGCUGGGGGCAGGGCGAGAGUGAGAAGGGACGUGGUGGGCGGGGAAGGGGGGGGUGGACGUGGGUGCGGGGGCGGGGCGUGGUCCGAGGGCUCCGUGCUGCCGUACCCAGGCCCACCAGGAGGCCCUGAAGAUGGAGUGGCAGAACUUCCUGAACCUGUGCAUCUGCCAGGAGACCCAGCUGCAGCACGUGGAGGACUACAGCCGGUGAGCCCUCGGGCAGGCGGCAGGGGCGGCAGGGGCGGGAGGUCCCACAGCACUCCUGCCCACAGGAGAGGCACUGCACCUCUCAACUAGACAGAGCUGGCAGGGCGCAGUGGCUCACACCUGUAAUCCCAGCACUUUGGGAGGCCGAGGCUGGCGGAUCACUUGAGGUCAGGAGUUCGAGAUCAUCCUGGCCAACAUGGUGAAACCCUGUCUCUACUAAAAAUACCAAAAUUAGCUAGACGUGGUGGCGCGCGCCUGUAAUCCCAGCUACUCAGGAGGCUGAGGCAGGAGAAUCGCUUGAACCCAGGAGGCGGAGGUUGCAGUGGGCCGAGAUUGGCCCACUGCACUCCAGCCUGGGUGACAAAGAGGGACUCCACCUCAAAAAUAAAAUAAAAUAAAAUAGACCUGUGUGGUUGCCACUCGGUCCCAGAGGGAAGGAAAGGCAUGGGCACAUUCUCAACAGGGUGAAGCGGUUCCCAGGGGGGUGAAAAUUGGUUCUUAAUGGCAGAAAAAUAACUGUUUUUAUGCAUGAAGUACAGAUCCACAUACAGCACCUAAACUGUAUACAGCAUAUCUGUGGUACAAAUAUUUCAUGGGGGCCAGGUGUGGUGGCUCACACCUGUAAUUCCAGCACUUUGGGAGGCCGAGCCAGGAGAAUUGCUUGACCCCAGUAGUUCCAGACCAGCCUGGGCAACAUAGGGAGAUGUUGUUUCUAUAAAAAAUAAAAAUAAAAACUAGCCAGGCAUGGUGGCUCGUGCCUAUUGCUUGAGCCCAGGAUUUUGAGGCUGCAGUGAGCCAUGAUCACACCACUGCACUCCCGCCUGGGUGACAGACUGCGACUCUGUCUUAAAAAAAAAAAAAAUCCUGGUGCAAUACCUCAUGCCUGCAAUCCUACCACUUUGGGAGGCCGAGGCGGGUGGAUCACUUGAGCCCAGGAGUUGGAGACCAGCCUGGGCAACAUGACGAAAUCCCAUCUCUAUAAAAAAUAUACAAAAAUUAUCUGGAUGUAGUGGUGCAUGCCUGUAGUCAGAGCUACUUGGGAGGCUGAGGUGAGAGGAUCACUUGAGCCCAGGAAGUCGAGGCUGCAGUGAGCUGUGGUCACUCCACUGCACUCUAGCCUGGGUGGCAGAGCAAGACCCUGUCUGUUAAAACAGAACAAAAUAGAGCUGGGGCUUCCUUUUCCAGUGGGUGUGGUGCAGGGGGCACUGGGCCUCCCUUGGACCACCCGGUUCUCUGGGGCCCAGCCUCAGCUCUCUGUGGAUGGAUUGGGUGGUGCU
This 2157-nucleotide long non-coding RNA is filed under the name Pan troglodytes (chimpanzee). RNAcentral describes it as "lncRNA (ENSPTRG00000053236.1)". Lineage: Eukaryota; Metazoa; Chordata; Mammalia; Primates; Hominidae. The record is from RNAcentral.